UUCGCUAUAGUCUAGGCGGUCAGGAUACAGGAUUCUCAUCGUGCCCUCUUGGGAACGGUGGAAAGCUCCUGAGACCCGGGUUCGAGUCCCGGUAGCGAAA
Molecule: non-coding RNA, 100 nt
Organism: Chlamydomonas reinhardtii
Lineage: Eukaryota; Viridiplantae; Chlorophyta; Chlorophyceae; Chlamydomonadales; Chlamydomonadaceae
Source: Rfam